GUAUUCUGUACAGGGUGGUCAAAGUGGAUCAUACGGUAGCAGCAGCCAAUACGGACAGGGUGGACGAGGUGGAUCAUAUGGAGGCAGCAGCCAGUAUGGGCAGGGUGGAUCAUAUGGAGGCAGCAGCCAGUAUGGGCAGGGUGGAUCAUAUGGAGGUAGCAGCCAAUAUGGACA
Molecule: long non-coding RNA, 174 nt
Organism: Sceloporus undulatus (fence lizard)
Lineage: Eukaryota; Metazoa; Chordata; Lepidosauria; Squamata; Phrynosomatidae
Exons: 4
Source: RefSeq, a predicted model, not a curated record